GUGCCAGCAGCCGCGGUAAUUCCAGCUCCAAUAGCGUAUAUUAAAGUUGUUGCAGUUAAAAAGCUCGUAGUUGGAUUUCUGGUGGAGGUGAUCGGUCGGCCUCGCAAGGGGUCUGCACCUGUAUCGUCCUUUGCCAUCCUUCAGGAAGGCGCUUCUUGUAUUAACUUACGGGUUGCGAACUCCUGAUCUUUUACUGUGAAAAAAUUAGAGUGUUCAAAGCAGGCUUAGGCCGUUGAAUACAUUAGCAUGGAAUAAUGAGAUAGGGCCUUGGUGGUUUUCUAUUUUGUUGGUUUGCACGCCAAGGUAAUGAUUAAUAGGGAUAGUUGGGGGUAUUCGUAUUCAAUUGUCAGAGGUGAAAUUCUUGGAUUUAUGGAAGACGAACUACUGCGAAAGCAUUUACCAAGGAUGUUUUCAUUAAUCAAGAACGAAAGUUAGAGGUUCGAAGGCGAUUAGAUACCGCCCUAGUUCUAACCAUAAACGAUGCCAGCUAGCGAUCUGCCUGCGUUUUUACUGUAGACUGGGCAGGAAGCUUCCGGGAAACCAAAGCAUUUGGGUUCCAGGGGAAGUAUGGUUGCAAAGCUGAAACUUAAAGGAAUUGACGGAAGGGCACCACCAGGAGUGGAGCCUGUGGCUUAAUUUGACUCAACACGGGAAAUCUCACCAGGCCCGGACACUGGAAGGAUUGACAGAUUGAUAGCUCUUUCUUGAUUCGGUGGGUGGUGGUGCAUGGCCGUUCUUAGUUGGUGGAGUGAUUUGUCUGGUUAAUUCCGAUAACGAACGAGACUCUGUCCUGCUAAAUAGUUUCUACUUCUCUUUUGAGUAGAAAUUUCUUCUUAGAGGGACUGGUGACUCUUAGUCACACGAGAUUGAGCAAUAACAGGUCUGUGAUGCCCAAU
RNAcentral lists this ribosomal RNA (896 nucleotides) under uncultured eukaryote. RNAcentral's name for it is "bacterial SSU rRNA". It matches the Rfam family "Eukaryotic small subunit ribosomal RNA", at positions 564 to 1475 of the family's 1831-position model. The record is from RNAcentral.